Molecule: non-coding RNA, 27 nt
Filed under: Bombyx mori (domestic silkworm)
Lineage: Eukaryota; Metazoa; Arthropoda; Insecta; Lepidoptera; Bombycidae
Source: RNAcentral
UACAGAGUUUAAGGCUUUAGAAAUAAU